Molecule: unclassified non-coding RNA, 365 nt
Filed under: soil metagenome
Description: partial contains 5.8S ribosomal RNA, internal transcribed spacer 2, and large subunit ribosomal RNA
Rfam family: 5.8S ribosomal RNA (bases 1-120)
Source: RNAcentral
GAUGAAGAACGCAGCGAAAUGCGAUAAGUAAUGUGAAUUGCAGAAUUCAGUGAACCAUCGAAUCUUUGAACGCACAUUGCGCCCGCCAGUAUUCUGGCGGGCAUGCCUGUCCGAGCGUCAUCUCAACCCUCGAGCCCCCCCGGGGGCUCGGCGUUGGGGACCGGCCCCGCCCCAGGGCGCGCCGCCCCCCAAAUCCAGUGGCGGUCCCGCCGCAGCCUCCCCUGCGCAGUAGCUUGCACACUCGCGCCGGAGAGCGGCGCGGCCACGCCGUAAAACCCCCCGACCACGGAGCCCCGGCUCCUGAACGUUGACCUCGGAUCAGGUAGGAAUACCCGCUGAACUUAAGCAUAUCAAUAAGCGGAGGA